UUUCAAGAUGAUGCUUGUGUACAAACAUGCAGGUUUAGCUUCCUGAUUACUGAAUUGAAUAGAGUCAAGAAUGGCGUUUUUAAAUAAGUUAUACUGCGUUGAUAAUGUCUUAUAUAGAUGUAGCAUAAAACUGUAAUUUAGUAAUUUAGUCAUCGAAACUUGACUUGCUUAUUGUUAAGAGCUGUCUUUAGAAAUUGCGUAUAGUAGUUAUCUCACCUCUUCCAUUUUAGUGAUUAAAAGAGAAAACGUCCCUCACUUGACAUCAAAACAUAAUUUCACUGUUUUCUGAAGAAAAGUAUGUUUUCUUUUUUGUUAUGGAAUUUUAUUUGUUUUUUUUAAAACCCCAUUGGCCAAAUCACAAUAUUGAGAGAGUUCACUUUUAUUGCACCUAUUUAUUUCUUUUGAAUGAAAUUAAACUGCAUUAUUUGUUACAGAACAAUGCAGGAUUUGUUAAUGGAGUAAAUGACAGAAAUAAUGGUUGGAAAAAAUCUCAUGACAAGAACCAUAAACAUGAUGCUUCACAAAGAGGAUUUGGCAAGAAGCCGUUUCAAAAUCGUCAAAAUGCACAAGGAAACUUCAAGUUCAAUAAUGAAAAUCGAGGAAAAGGGAACCAAAAUGCUGGAGCAAAGAACUUCAACUUUUUGAAUUCAAAUGAGCAAAAUCAAGGAGUUCAGAAGAGGUAAUUCUGAUGUAUUUGAUA
Erythranthe guttata (spotted monkey flower) is the source of this 700-nucleotide non-coding RNA. Lineage: Eukaryota; Viridiplantae; Streptophyta; Magnoliopsida; Lamiales; Phrymaceae. The record is from RefSeq and is a predicted model, not a curated record.